CCCCAUAGUCUGGGAUACCACUUGGAAACAGGUGCUAAUACCGGAUAAGAAAGCAGAUCGCAUGAUCAGCUUUUAAAAGGCGGCGUAAGCUGUCGCUAUGGGAUGGCCCCGCGGUGCAUUAGCUAGUUGGUAAGGUAAAGGCUUACCAAGGCGAUGAUGCAUAGCCGAGUUGAGAGACUGAUCGGCCACAUUGGGACUGAGACACGGCCCAAACUCCUACGGGAGGCAGCAGUAGGGAAUCUUCCACAAUGGACGCAAGUCUGAUGGAGCAACGCCGCGUGAGUGAAGAAGGUUUUCGGAUCGUAAAGCUCUGUUGUUGGUGAAGAAGGAUAGAGGUAGUAACUGGCCUUUAUUUGACGGUAAUCAACCAGAAAGUCACGGCUAACUACGUGCCAGCAGCCGCGGUAAUACGUAGGUGGCAAGCGUUGUCCGGAUUUAUUGGGCGUAAAGCGAGCGCAGGCGGAAGAAUAAGUCUGAUGUGAAAGCCCUCGGCUUAACCGAAGGAACUGCAUCGGAAACUGUUUUUCUUGAGUGCAGAAGAGGAGAGUGGAACUCCCAUGUGUAGCGGGUGGAAUGCGUAGAUAUAUGGAAGAACACCAGUGGCGAAGGCGGCUCUCUGGUCUGCACUGACGCUGAGGCUCGAAAGCAUGGGUAGCGAACCAGGAUUAGAUACCCUGGUAAGUCCAUGCC
This 690-nucleotide ribosomal RNA is filed under the name uncultured bacterium. Its description in RNAcentral is "bacterial SSU rRNA". It matches the Rfam family "Bacterial small subunit ribosomal RNA", at positions 129 to 801 of the family's 1533-position model. The record is from RNAcentral.